AGAAGCGUAAGAGACAUACGUUUCAGAAAUCCACCCUGGAUAACGUGCGUAUUAAUAUUUAUAAACAAUGUGUGAUUUAUUCGAUAAUGAAAUUCUGACAAAACUUCCUUCAUCGACAUGUCUCUCUAUUUUCACUUCAGGUAACUGUUUCCUACAUUACCCACAAUGCCGUUCUGAUAGCGGUACAGUGAUCUGUGCUGAAUUUCAGUCCUAUCAGAAACAUCGUAAUUACGAGGUGAGCGCACCUGAACGCCAGGACGAUGACGUAACUACAACGCAGGAGCUCGUAUUCUUCUGUGAGCCCCGAGGUUCCUGAGUUGGGGGCGUGGCAACAACAAAACAGCCACGCUAAUAUAAACAUAGCGUCUACGUUACACGUUACGCACCUUUCACUGAAGCUCACCUGGAGGCAGGUACGGCACCGCAGCGGCGUUGGUUAUUCAGCACUGGGUGUGGCGUUGAGCGAGACGCUCUGGUAGAACGUGUUCAGUCUUGCUGAGUCACACACCUCCUGACGCAUGCACUAGCUCCGUGCUUCAUCUGCGUCCUCAACACCACUUACUCUCAGCUUUAACUGUAAACGGGAUCCAAAAUGUUGUUGUUGUUGUUUUUAAGAUUUACGAUUUAUUUUCGGUUGUUGCUGUUACACAGAUAUUCCUGAUCAUGUGACCGAGUCCCAGCAUGCAGCUCGUUAUGGCCCUCUGAUGGACGAGGACAUGUACGCUAAUAACAAGAUAAAAUAUUAAUCACACUUGAAGGAAUGUUCAAAGAACAGCAUGUUUAUUUACUUAUUAGCUUUACUUUAAAUUAUUGGGAGGUUUUAAAUAAUUAACAUUUUGUUUUUAAAUGAACCAGUGCCGUGCAUAAGUAUUCACCCCCCCUUGAACUUUUCUCACAUUUUGUAUUGAACUGAAAUGGACUUACAGGAUUUUAUUUCAUGAAUCUACAAAAAAAAAAAAAAAAAGGCAAAA
Long non-coding RNA from Pangasianodon hypophthalmus (striped catfish), 971 nucleotides. RefSeq lists it as uncharacterized. The transcript has 2 exons. The record is from RefSeq and is a predicted model, not a curated record. Lineage: Eukaryota; Metazoa; Chordata; Actinopteri; Siluriformes; Pangasiidae.